Molecule: long non-coding RNA, 1373 nt
Filed under: Nicotiana benthamiana
Lineage: Eukaryota; Viridiplantae; Streptophyta; Magnoliopsida; Solanales; Solanaceae
Description: long non-coding RNA (NBEN_LNC025747)
Source: RNAcentral
AAGACACAAAAUAUUGCAGCAUAAACACACCUAAUGGAUUCUGUUAGAGUGACUAUAUCCUAAAUACAGGUUUUCUAGGGUGGCCAGGUUUAAAAGAUCACAAUCAAGGAAAAAACAACCUAUGCAUAUGAUUCUUAAGUACAAGAUUUAGCUGGUCAAAUAGCAUGUAUUCAUCUAAGUGUUAAGGAGAAUAUAUGGGGUACUACAUGUUUAUUAUCACAUACAUAUAUAGCUAUAUGUGCUAGAGUUCACAUUUGAGGUAAUUGAGUCUAAAUGAAAAAGUAUCGCACAAGGAUUCCCAGAAUAUCAUACCAACAGCAAAAUCACAACAAAAUUAGAUUAGCACAUAAUUUGACAUAGUACUGCAAUCCACAAAUUUUAGAGGACAAAGACCCUAAGUCAUGUUUUCUAAACAUUUUCACAUAGCAAUGGCAUAAAGAGUGCAUGUAGGCAUGAAUGAAUGAAGGGAAUAGUCUACAACAUGCUUGCACUGACAAAUAGAUAUUUGAAUUGCAGAACUAAGGGUACUAACUAGUUGAAAAGAGAAACGGGCAAAAAUGAGAAAACAAAAUUCCAGAAGUGAUUAGUGAGAAUUGCGAUUGAAGAAAAGAAGUGAUAACCCUCAGGGACUCUGGCAUUUCAGAGUUCACAGAAGCUUUAGUGGCUCCGAGCAGUGCUUGUGCCAGAGAAAGUUAUUGAGUAAUACCACAGUGACCUUGGCUUUUAGCCGGUCAUGAACAAAAUCAAACACAAUAGUUUUCAACAAACCAACAAAAAAUAGAACAAAUGCGAUUGAGGAGGAACAUAUAUCCAAAUGGAAAAUUUGGGAGGGUUUAUAUAGUACUUGAUUCACACAAAUAAAAAAGGAAAACAUACAAAUUAAAUCACAAACCAAAGGAAAGAAUCAUAUGCAAAAAAUUUUGAAUUAGAUUAGGGAAAAAUAUAUACAGAAGGUCAAUAAACAAUCCAGGUUACUAGAGGAGCAUGGAUUUACUCCUCAAUAUAUCAAGCUAUGAUUGUGUGUAUAAUAAAAGAUCCAAAACCACGUAGAAUCAUAAAAUUUGAUACUUGCGAUGUUCAGGCAAGUAUUAUCAGGUCUUCGUACAUUGUCUUGCCAUAAAAGGACAAGUUCCACAUAAACUAAGGAGCCAAGAAAAUUAAUAGCGUCGUAGGGGAACCGCGGUUCGAUUCCAAUUCAGGAAAGGAAGGGGAAGAUACCAUGUCGGCUAGGUGUAGGGUUUACAGACGAGAGGAUUUGGGGGCAGCUUAAAUGGAAUACGGGGAUUAGGGUUUUGGGUAAGGGGAUACAAAAGGGAAGAAGGGGUCUACUUUGGGAUGUUGAUCUUAAAAGAUCAAAAACUGAGAUUUUAAGG